GAUUUGAGUCAGAGGACCUAGGUUUGAAAACUGGCUCUUGGGUCUCUCUUUUAGUAUGUGCCCUACCUGAUUGAAAGCUUUCUUAUUCUGUGGGAUGAUGAUAGGAGUCUCCUGGGCAUCACCAAACCUUCCAGGCUUUACAUGAGCAAUUUUUGGUUGACCUACAGUGUUCUGAAAGGUGAUAAUAACUGGCAAAUACUGACCAGAACUAGAAGCCACUUGUCAGCUUUUCCAAACUGAGGAAUUUUCAGAUGAGGAAACCGAGACCCAGAAGCCAAGUACUUUGUCUGAUUGUUUAUGGAAGAACUCAGAUGAAGAGACCCUCCAGGGUCAAGUGGAAUGCCAACUUCUUGAGAGAAGGAACAGUUUUGCUAUCAUCUUUGUGCCACCAGAACCUAGGAUAACAUCCAGGAGUCGGCCAGAAAUACAAGUAUAUUAAAUUAAAGGGAAUAUUUUCUUUCCAAGAAUUUGG
RNAcentral lists this long non-coding RNA (472 nucleotides) under Monodelphis domestica (gray short-tailed opossum). Its description in RNAcentral is "lncRNA (ENSMODG00000050783.1)". Lineage: Eukaryota; Metazoa; Chordata; Mammalia; Didelphimorphia; Didelphidae. The record is from RNAcentral.